Molecule: ribosomal RNA, 468 nt
Filed under: uncultured bacterium
Lineage: Bacteria
Description: partial 16S ribosomal RNA
Rfam family: Bacterial small subunit ribosomal RNA
Source: RNAcentral
AGUGAACGCUGGCGGUAGGCCUAACACAUGCAAGUCGAACGGAAAGGCCCAAGCUUGCUUGGGUACUCGAGUGGCGAACGGGUGAGUAACACGUGGGUGAUCUGCCCUGCACUUCGGGAUAAGCCUGGGAAACUGGGUCUAAUACCGGAUGGGACGAUGGUUUGGAUGCCAUUGUGGAAAGUUUUUUCGGUGUGGGAUGAGCUCGCGGCCUAUCAGCUUGUUGGUGGGGUAAUGGCCUACCAAGGCGUCGACGGGUAGCCGGCCUGAGAGGGUGUACGGCCACAUUGGGACUGAGAUACGGCCCAGGCUCCGACGGGGGGCAGAAGUGGGGAAUAUUGCACAAUGGGCGCAAGCCUGAUGCAGCGACGCCGCGUGGGGGAUGACGGCCUUCGGGUUGUAAACUCCUUUCGCUAGGGACGAAGCGUUUUUGUGACGGUACCUGGAGAAGAAGCACCGGCUAACUACGUG